This 395-nucleotide unclassified non-coding RNA is filed under the name soil metagenome. RNAcentral's name for it is "partial contains 5.8S ribosomal RNA, internal transcribed spacer 2, and large subunit ribosomal RNA". The stretch from base 1 to 120 matches the Rfam family "5.8S ribosomal RNA", at positions 35 to 154 of the family's 154-position model. The record is from RNAcentral.
GAUGAAGAACGUAGCGAAAUGCGAUAAGUAAUGUGAAUUGCAGAAUUCAGUUAAUCAUCGAAUCUUUGAACGCACCUUGCGCCUUUUGGUAUUCCGAAAGGCACACCUGUUUGAGCGUCAUGAAUACCUCAAUCUCCAUCUUUUCUUCGGAUUGAUGGGUGACUUGGAUGUUGAGCCCUGCUGGUAUGCUAUAUCAGCUGGCUUUAAACUUAUUAGCCGGCUCUGUACUGGAUCGGUUUGACUCGACGUGAUAAUAUUAUCGUUGAGGAUGCAUGUCUCAUGCAGCCGGAAAGUAUCAAAGCAGCUUCUAGCUUGCCUUUAGUGCACUUUUACAUUUUAGACCUCAGAUCAGGUGGGACUACCCGCUGAACUUAAGCAUAUCAAUAAGCGGAGGA